RNAcentral lists this unclassified non-coding RNA (203 nucleotides) under Hevea brasiliensis (rubber tree). Lineage: Eukaryota; Viridiplantae; Streptophyta; Magnoliopsida; Malpighiales; Euphorbiaceae. The record is from RNAcentral.
UGACCCAUUUGAAGCUGGUAGAUGCUCCAGUCUUGAUCCUCUGAGCUCCCACCAUUGCAGCUGCUUUGGCUUUAUUCAAUCCUGAUUUGCCAUCUGACUUCUUAUUAUUGCUGGUGUCUUUCUUAUUGGUAGUGUCCUCUUCUGCCAUGGCACCAAUACCCCCUGCACCCCACUGAUCUGCCCAGCUUGGUGGCUCGCUUUCC